UUUGCGCUUUUGUGUUGUGCUAAGCUUUUGUGUUGUGUCCGCCCGGCCUGUUUCAGGCGAUAGGACGAGGAGUGGACUGGGGGGGGCUGGCAGACGGGCGAGCAGCGGUCCCUGGAGGGAGUCCUGCUACCACCCGUCCUCCUCCCUCCCAUUCGCGCGGGCAAGAAAGAAGAUGUAUAAAAGAGAGAACAACUUAGCGCAAGGGAGGGAAACGGUGUUUACUUGCAUUAAGGAGCUGCUCAGCUUUCCCUCCAGGCUGGCUUGCUAUCUAUGGAAUGCAGAGAGGAAGGAACUCCAGGGAGAGCCAAUUAGGUGGCUGUAGCUGGUGCCACAAGAAGAGAGGCAAGCAAGAGGAAACAUUAACCCUUCCCUCCCCCUGAUUCUGCUAAUGGCGGUGGUGGCAGCAGGGGAGAAACCUCACUUGAGCACGCACACAGUCAGAACGAAGACCAGCCAGACACUCUCCCAGCAGCAUGCAGUGCACGCGUGAUGACUUGCCGGAACCAACAGAAGAAAGGUUUUGUAUCUACCCAUGCCUGACUACAAAUCUCCCCUUCGGCUUCCAAGAUUCCAUGUCUCACCUUUCAAGUUAAUCACAUGUAAGAAACGUUAGUGGGAAAGAUGCCUUUCACUGCUACUCCCAGCUGGUACGCCUGCCAUCUGCCCCCCCCCCAAGCUUUGCAGCUGCAAUUAAAUCAUCACAAAAACAGCUUAUUAAAAUAUUAUAUGCAUUAGCCUGCA
This is a long non-coding RNA of Hemicordylus capensis (graceful crag lizard), 741 nucleotides long. RefSeq lists it as uncharacterized. The transcript is spliced from 3 exons. Lineage: Eukaryota; Metazoa; Chordata; Lepidosauria; Squamata; Cordylidae. The record is from RefSeq and is a predicted model, not a curated record.